This 2715-nucleotide long non-coding RNA is filed under the name Sus scrofa (pig). RNAcentral describes it as "lncRNA (ENSSSCG00065014282.1)". Lineage: Eukaryota; Metazoa; Chordata; Mammalia; Artiodactyla; Suidae. The record is from RNAcentral.
UUUUUUUGUUUGUUUUUUGUCAUAACUUCAUAACUAAUUUAGCAAGGAGAGAAAUGGCAGUACUUACUUUUUUUCAUAACUACAAAAGGUCAAAUUAUUCUAUAUUUAGAAAAUGUUGAAAUGUGUAGAUAUAUUUUCCUUCUAAGGUAAUUACAAGUUCCAAUUUAUUUUACAUUAAUAUGUGUAAAACUAUCAAGUAAUAAUAAUAAAGUUGUGAUAAUUAAAACGGACAGUUGAAAUUUGCUUGUUCUAUUUAUAUAUGUUGAUGAAAGGUCUAUUUUCAUAAGUGUGUUUCUAUGGAAGACAAAUACUUUCAAAUUUCUAAAAUGUAUAAUUAUCCUCAUGUGGCUCAAGGCAUCUUUGACAUCUGUUUAGACAUAUAAAAGAGUAGGCUUUUUUUCCAUGGGAGUAUUUUUGGCAAGGUAAAUCUCAGAUUUUCUCAAAAUGCAUUUUUAAAUUCUGUGAGCUAACUCCUGCCUUUUCUUAUGGAAUGUAGAGAAUAUGUGAAAAUCUUCUCAACUUUGUGCUGCUCUGACCCUCUUAACUAAGUACUAGAUUCUUCUUAACUUCAACUCAGCCCAAGACGCUGAGGGGACCAGCCACUUUAUGAAUCUUAGUGAGGGGUUCCUCAUUCCACCUGCCUUCCUGCUGAUGCAGCUCCGCUAAUAUCCCCCAAGAACUGGAGUUCUUCCUGAAGACUAGGAACUGGCAAGGCUAGUGACUGGAUGCCUCUCUUGUCUCCAGUGCUACAUUUCUUCUAUCACUACAACUAAGAUAAGUUCUUCUAUCACUACAACUAAGAUAAGUUUCAAUAAACUUAGACUAAACCAUGUUUUAAAAAUAUUUUGGCAGAUUUCAGUCUGAAAAAUUUAAUAGUUCUGAGUCUUUCCAGAGUAAAAAUGAAAACUGUGUGUAGAGAAGAAAGAGCUCUCCUCUACUUUUGUAGAUUUGAUAAAGGAAUUGAUGAGAUAAACUGACAAAAGGCAGAUUAACAAGAGAGCAAGUACAUGAAUUUAUCAAUGUUUAAUAUUACAUACACAGAGCACCAUGGAAAAGUGGAUAUCAAAAAUACAGUGAUAAAGUUCUCACAGUGGCUCAGUAGGUUAAGAACUUGACAUAGUGUCCAUGAGGAUGUGGGUUCAAUCCCUGGCUUUACUCAGUGGCUUAAGGAUUUGGUGUUGCUGCAAGUUGUGGAGCAGGUCACAGAUGAGGUUCGGAUCUAGUGUUGAUAUUGCUGUGGCAUAGGCUGGCAGCUGUGGCUCUGAUUUGAUCCCAAGCUUGGGAACUUCCAUACACCACAGGUGCAGCCCUAAAAAGAAAAAAAAAAGGUACAGUGAGUUUUGAAAGUUUAUAUAUCAUCUUAAUAGGGGGAGUGAGGUCUAGGCCAUUAUGGGGAGGGUAAAUGUCUUUCAGGAUGAGAAAUGGGCCUUUAGAAGCACACUCGGGAGGUAUGAGAAUUUGUGGUGAGGUUUGUUUGAGGAUGGUGACUUCCAGUCUCUCUUGCGAUGAGUUCCCUGGUUUCUGAAACUCCCAGGAGGGGAGUAAUUACAAUGGAAUUCCCUUUCUGUCUUUCACCACACAGGAAGAGUUCAGAGAAAGCCUCUGCCUACAUUUGCUAUUUUUCAAAUAUCUUCAGCUCAAAAUAAUCAAUAUGUCAAAGUGGCAUAUUUUGAGGUUACAAGCCCUAAACUCCUUGAAUAAUCAUAUAUGAAAAAAAAUCUAUCAAUUAUGGUAUGUUUUGUCUGGAGGAAAUUUUGAAGAUGAAGUGGAGAUGAAGACUUAUUAAACAACUCACCAACUGUUAAUUUCUUUUGAAUGAAGUGUAAAAUAACCUCCAAGUUCAAAAUCAAAAUAUGGCGUUGCCUCCUCUGAAGCUGCUCAGCCUAGGCAAUAGUUCCUCUCAAUUUCACCUUUUUCUUCCAUUGUUAUUCUCUGUUUACUUCUGUUUUCUCCAAAUAAAUAGCUAAUUUUGAUGACAUUCUUAAUAGUCUUGCCUGCUAAUGACUUUAGUCUUAUUUCUGGAUUUUGGGAUUAUUUGCCAUUUCUUUAAUUCUAAUUCAAUGUUUUAUUUUUAUUUUUUUAUCAAGUAGUCUUAAUUGUAAUCAAUUGUUAUUUCCAAAUUUUACUUCAAUGUUUUACACUUUUUGGAACCUAAGAAAGAAGUGUUGUACAGAAGGGAUUUAGAUUAACUCCUGUAGUCUUACUUCCUUGAUUUACUGCAACUGAAGUAAUUUAUAGGUUAAUUAAAAACUAAAUUAGGGGAGUUCCCGUCGUGGCGCAGUGGUUAACGAAUCCGACUAGGAACCAUGAGGCUGCGGGUUCAGUCCCUGCCCUUGCUCAGUGGGUUAACGAUCUGGCGUUGCCGUGAGCUGUGGUGUGGACCCUCAAAAAAAAGACAAAAAGACAAAAAAAUAAAUAAACAAAAUAAAGAUGGAUUUCCCAAGUAACAGAAAUAAAACCAAAAAUAAAAACAUGGAACCUAGUCAAACUUAUAAGCUUUUGCAUAGCAAGGAGAAUUAUAAACAAAAUGAAAAUACAGCUUAUGGACUAGGAGAAAAUAUUUACAAAUUAUGUAACCAAUGCAUUUAAUUUCAAAAUAUAAAAACAGCCCAUACAACUCAAUAACAAAAACAAAAAAACAACACAACUGAAAAAAUAGGCUGAAGAGCUAAAUAGACAUUUCUCCAAAGACAGACAAAUGGCCAAAAAGCACAU